AAGAUCCUAUGGCGGAUUCGACGAGGAACGCAGGGGUCCGAAUCCUAGGGUUUCGGAACUCGAUCAGCCUUCCAGGGCUGAUGAGGUGGACAAUUGGGCCUCCGUGAAGAAAUCUGUCCCCGCGUUUGAUUCUGGUCGGCAGAAUCGCUAUGGGGGAGGCGGCGGCGGUUUUGGUGGCGGAGGUGGUGGUUUUGGUGGCGGCGGUGGCGGUGGCGGUGGUUUUGGUGGUGCGUCUAGGGCUGAUGGUGUGGAUAAUUGGGCGGUUGGUAAGAAGGCUGCUCCUGUUAGAUCUUCCAAUUUUGGUUCAGGUUUUCGUGAUUCGGGCGUGGAACCGGAUCGUUGGUCGAGAGGUGGUCCGUCGCGUGAGACGGAGCGGACGGAGCGG
Molecule: long non-coding RNA, 385 nt
Filed under: Vigna radiata
Lineage: Eukaryota; Viridiplantae; Streptophyta; Magnoliopsida; Fabales; Fabaceae
Description: long non-coding RNA (VRAD_LNC007357)
Source: RNAcentral